CAUUAUCGAGUCUUUGAAGUGGGUCUUUGAGCUGGCCUUCAUUGGCAAGUGCUCGGGCCCCGCUCCAAAAUCCACUCAACUACACCUGUGCACUUUCGGAGGAUUCGCGGGGGGAACUUGUUUCCCCUGCGAGCCACCCNNCCGUCUCUUAUCACAAACAUCGUAUUACAUGUCUUGUAGAACGCGUUGAAUGCCUUACGGGGCAAAAACAUAAUACAACUUUCAACAACGGAUCUCUUGGCUCUCGCAUCGAUGAAGAACGCAGCGAAAUGCGAUAAGUAAUGUGAAUUGCAGAAUUCAGUGAAUCAUCGAAUCUUUGAACGCAUCUUGCGCUCCUUGGUAUUCCGAGGAGCAUGCCUGUUUGAGUGUCAUGAAAUCAUCAACCUCACCAGCUUUGUUGCUUUGGUGUAGGCUUGGAUUUGGGGAAUUCAUCUGCGGGCCCUCCGAGGUCGGCUUCCCUUGAAUGUAUUAGUCGGAUUUUGUUGCCUCCGUAUCCGAACGGUGUGAUAAACGUCAUUCAUCGAUCGGCGGUGGCUGUGUUCGGCUUCUAACCGCCGUCUUCUUCGACGACAAUCCUUUCUUGACUCAUCUGACCUCAAAUCAGGUAGGACUACCCGCUGAACUUAA
RNAcentral lists this ribosomal RNA (627 nucleotides) under uncultured Basidiomycota. RNAcentral's name for it is "eukaryotic LSU rRNA". The stretch from base 218 to 371 matches the Rfam family "5.8S ribosomal RNA". Lineage: Eukaryota; Fungi; Basidiomycota. The record is from RNAcentral.